GACGAACGCUGGCGGCGUGCUUAACACAUGCAAGUCGAACGGAAAGGCCCUGCUUUUGUGGGGUGCUCGAGUGGCGAACGGGUGAGUAACACGUGAGUAACCUGCCCUUGACUUUGGGAUAACUUCAGGAAACUGGGGCUAAUACCGGAUAGGAGCUCCUGCUGCAUGGUGGGGGUUGGAAAGUUUCGGCGGUUGGGGAUGGACUCGCGGCUUAUCAGCUUGUUGGUGGGGUAGUGGCUUACCAAGGCUUUGACGGGUAGCCGGCCUGAGAGGGUGACCGGCCACAUUGGGACUGAGAUACGGACCAGACUCCUACGGGCGGCAGCAGUGGGGAAUAUUGCACAAUGGGCGGAAGCCUGAUGCAGCAACGCCGCGUGCGGGAUGACGGCCUUCGGGUUGUAAACCGCUUUCGCCUGUGACGAAGCGUGAGUGACGGUAAUGGGUAAAGAAGCACCGGCUAACUACGUG
This 468-nucleotide ribosomal RNA is filed under the name uncultured bacterium. RNAcentral's name for it is "partial 16S ribosomal RNA". It matches the Rfam family "Bacterial small subunit ribosomal RNA", at positions 28 to 507 of the family's 1533-position model. The record is from RNAcentral.